CUGCCCUUCAGAGUUUGAUCCUGGCUCAGGACGAACGCUGGCGGCGUGCUUAACACAUGCAAGUCGAACGGUGAACUCAGGGCUUGCCCUGGGGGAUCAGUGGCGAACGGGUGAGUAACACGUGAGCAACCUGCCCCUGACUCUGGGAUAACUCCGGGAAACCGGUGCUAAUACCGGAUAUGACCUGCGCGGGCAUCUGUGUGGGUGGAAAGAUUUUUUGGUCAGGGAUGGGCUCGCGGCCUAUCAGCUUGUUGGUGGGGUGAUGGCCUACCAAGGCGACGACGGGUAGCCGGCCUGAGAGGGCGACCGGCCACACUGGGACUGAGACACGGCCCAGACUCCUACGGGAGGCAGCAGUGGGGAAUAUUGCUCAAUGGGCGCAAGCCUGAAGCAGCGACGCCGCGUGAGGGAUGAAGGCCUUCGGGUUGUAAACCUCUUUCAGCAGGGAAGAAGCGAAAGUGACGGUACCUGCAGAAGAAGCACCGGCUAACUACGUGCCAGCAGCCGCGGUAAUACGUAGGGUGCAAGCGUUGUCCGGAAUUAUUGGGCGUAAAGAGCUCGUAGGCGGUCUGUCGCGUCUGCUGUGAAAACCUGGGGCUUAACCCUGGGCCUGCAGUGGGUACGGGCAGACUAGAGUGCGGUAGGGGAGACUGGAAUUCCUGGUGUAGCGGUGAAAUGCGCAGAUAUCAGGAGGAACACCGGUGGCGAAGGCGGGUCUCUGGGCCGUAACUGACGCUGAGGAGCGAAAGCAUGGGUAGCGAACAGGAUUAGAUACCCUGGUAGUCCAUGCCGUAAACGUUGGGCGCUAGGUGUGGGGCUCAUUCCACGAGUUCCGUGCCGCAGCAAACGCAUUAAGCGCCCCCGCCUGGGGAAGAACGGCCGCAAGGCUAAAACUCCAAGGGAAUUGACGGGGGCCC
RNAcentral lists this ribosomal RNA (917 nucleotides) under Thalassiella sp. RNAcentral describes it as "bacterial SSU rRNA". It matches the Rfam family "Bacterial small subunit ribosomal RNA", at positions 1 to 922 of the family's 1533-position model. Lineage: Bacteria; Bacillati; Actinomycetota; Actinomycetes; Kineosporiales; Kineosporiaceae. The record is from RNAcentral.